Molecule: transfer RNA, 75 nt
Filed under: Schistocerca americana (American grasshopper)
Lineage: Eukaryota; Metazoa; Arthropoda; Insecta; Orthoptera; Acrididae
Also listed under: 4 other names
Description: tRNA-Pro
Rfam family: tRNA
About the family: Transfer RNA (tRNA) molecules are approximately 80 nucleotides in length. Their secondary structure includes four short double-helical elements and three loops (D, anti-codon, and T loops).
Source: RNAcentral
UGCUUGGGUAGCUCAGUUGGUAGAGCACUUGCCCGCGGAAGGCAGAGGUCCCGAGUUCGAGUCUCGGUCCGGCAC